GACGAACGCUGGCGGCGUGCUUAACACAUGCAAGUCGUACGGUAAGGCCCUUUCGGGGGUACACGAGUGGCGAACGGGGGAGUAACACGGGAGUAACCUGCCCACAACUUUGGGAUAACGCUAGGAAACUGGGGCUAAUACUGGAUAUGUGCUCCUGCUGCAUGGUGGGGGUUGGAAAGCUCCGGCGGUUGUGGAUGGACGCGCGGCCUAUCAGCUGGUUGGUGGGGUAGUGGCCUACCAAGGCGGCGACGGGUAGCCGGCCUGAGAGGGUGACCGGCCACAUUGGGACUGAGAUACGGCCCAGACUCCUACGGGAGGCAGCAGUGGGGAAUAUUGCACAAUGGGCGCCAGCCUGAUGCAGCAACGCCGCGUGCGGGAUGACGGCCUUCGGGUUGUAAACCGCUUUCAGCAGGGACGAAGCUUUUUGUGACGGUACCUGCAGAAGAAGCACCGGCUAACUACGUG
This 465-nucleotide ribosomal RNA is filed under the name uncultured bacterium. RNAcentral describes it as "partial 16S ribosomal RNA". It matches the Rfam family "Bacterial small subunit ribosomal RNA", at positions 28 to 507 of the family's 1533-position model. The record is from RNAcentral.